UACGAAGGGGGCUAGCGUUGCUCGGAAUCACUGGGCGUAAAGCGCACGUAGGCGGAUUGCUAAGUCAGGGGUGAAAUCCUGGAGCUCAACUCCAGAACUGCCUUUGAUACUGGCGAUCUCGAGUUCGGGAGAGGUGAGUGGAACUGCGAGUGUAGAGGUGAAAUUCGUAGAUAUUCGCAAGAACACCAGUGGCGAAGGCGGCUCACUGGCCCGAUACUGACGCUGAGGCACGAAAGCGUGGGGAGCAAACAGG
Molecule: ribosomal RNA, 253 nt
Filed under: uncultured bacterium
Lineage: Bacteria
Description: partial 16S ribosomal RNA
Rfam family: Bacterial small subunit ribosomal RNA
Source: RNAcentral